GCAAGGCGAGGCAUGGGAUAGAAAGAUUUCUCCCAUCAAUGAAGUUACCUUCUAAUUGACAACAUUUAAGUCGAUUCACUAUUCACAUUUUCAUGUCAAUGGUGAGAAGUUUGGUCUACAGAGAAGAUUCCAUGAUGUGAGAGCUCGUUGUUUUGUUGUUAUGAGGAUACCAAGGCAUAAGGUGAAGGUAUUGAGAGCAACAAAUCAUAUUAUUUGGUAGGUGAGUUUCUUACUGUAAAUGUUUGCAAUAUUUCUAAAUUUGUGCAAGGACUGCGGAGCAAAAUGUGGAUUGAGGGGGCUUAAACAUUUUUAGGGUGGGUUAAACAUGCUAAAAAAGAGCGGGUGAUUUCUUGCAUAGGCUUAAAUACAUUUUGGAAAUUAUUUAGACCCCGUAGUUGAGCCCCGCGGUCCCUGAAUUUUUGACUCCCAAAUACUCUUUCGAGGAGCAAUUCUCACUUGGCCUGGUAGCCUACCCUGAACCACAACUCAAAUUCCAGUAUUCAGAAAACAACACCACAUAACAAGCCACCACCUCAAAUUUCUCUACCCAGUGUUAUCUUUUUCAGUCGAAUAGAAAGAUUUGGUCAUUAUUUUAUGCUUUGACUUAUAACAUUGAUUUAUGCUUUUGUUUAUUUCCGUGAUGUAUAUAAAGGGAUUUAAUCAAGGUUGGAGGAGAAAUUAAUUGAUAGGAUUGUGAUUGUUGGAUUGCUUGAAUGUAGAUGGUUUUCUUUUUCGAUUGGAACAUGAACGCGUGUACGGAAUUAAAAUUGGAAAUGUUUAGAGAAUAUAUUAUGGAUAUCGGUUUGUAAUCGUUUAUAUCGAAAUCUAGAUCGUAGAUUCAGUGUUUCCAAAUAUUACUGAUUGAGAGAACCUUGGAAUCAUAGCCAGUUUGUUUCUCUCUUAUUUACCCUGAACCGAAUUUAUCGUACGGGAAUAUUGCUCGAUUUAACUAGUCCGGCAGAAAUUGUUUAUUUGGCAAUGUUAACCAUCAGAUAGUACUUUAUCCUAAAUAAGAUUUAAAGGACAGGAGCUCAAGAUUUUGAGAGCCCGGGAUUUAGUAUAUUUUCUAGGUCUGUUUUCUUUCUCCCAUUCACAUGUAAAGCUGGCUUCUGUAUUGCAUGUUAUGUUUUCCCGCCCCGUAUUGGCGCCAUAAUCACCACAACCUCAUUCUGAUGUAGCAACCUUCAGCACAGGGGCCUUUGUGGCGUGAUAAGCCUUGAGCAAAGAUAGAUAAGGCACUUGUUUCCCGCUCUUUGGAAUCACUGUUCGUGAGUAAAUG
Non-coding RNA from Rhopilema esculentum, 1279 nucleotides. Lineage: Eukaryota; Metazoa; Cnidaria; Scyphozoa; Rhizostomeae; Rhizostomatidae. The record is from RefSeq and is a predicted model, not a curated record.